RNAcentral lists this transfer RNA (76 nucleotides) under Paracidovorax avenae. Its description in RNAcentral is "tRNA-Lys". Lineage: Bacteria; Pseudomonadati; Pseudomonadota; Betaproteobacteria; Burkholderiales; Comamonadaceae. The record is from RNAcentral.
CGGAUGUUCGCUGGUGUAAAGGAUUGCGGGACUUUUAAUCCGUUGGUCACAAGUUCGAAUCUUGUACGUCCUACCA